This 365-nucleotide ribosomal RNA is filed under the name Planctomycetota bacterium. RNAcentral's name for it is "partial 23S ribosomal RNA". It matches the Rfam family "Bacterial large subunit ribosomal RNA", at positions 2558 to 2925 of the family's 2925-position model. Lineage: Bacteria; Pseudomonadati; Planctomycetota. The record is from RNAcentral.
GAAGCUCCCAAGGGUUUGGCUGUUCGCCAAUGAAAGCGGUACGUGAGCUGGGUUCAGACCGUCGUGAGACAGGUCGGUCCCUAUCUACCGUGGGCGUACGAAACUUGAAGAGGAUCAACUUUAGUACGAGAGGAUUUAGUUGGACGUAGCUCUGGUGUACCAGUUGUCACGCUAGUGGCACGGCUGGAUAGCUAACUACGGAAAGGAUAAACGCUGAAAGCAUCUAAGCGUGAAGCCCUCUCUAAGAUUAGGUUUCGUAGCUUUUAAGCGAAAGUCCCCUGAUAGACGAUCAGGUUAAUAGGCCAGAUGUGUAAGCACCGUAAGGUGUUCAGCUUACUGGUACUAACGGACGAAAGCUUGAUCAU